GGGGGCAAAGUGACAGGUGGUGCAUGGUUGUCGUCAGCUCGUGUCGUGAGAUGUUGGGUUAAGUCCCGCAACGAGCGCAACCCUUGAUCUUAGUUGCCAGCAUUUAGUUGGGCACUCUAAGGUGACUGCCGGUGACAAACCGGAGGAAGGUGGGGAUGACGUCAAAUCAUCAUGCCCCUUAUGACCUGGGCUACACACGUGCUACAAUGGACGGUACAAAGAGCUGCAAGACCGCGAGGUGGAGCUAAUCUCAUAAAACCGUUCUCAGUUCGGAUUGUAGGCUGCAACUCGCCUACAUGAAGCUGGAAUCGCUAGUAAUCGCGGAUCAGCAUGCCGCGGUGAAUACGUUCCCGGGCCUUGUACACACCGCCCGUCACACCACGAGAGUUUGUAACACCCGAAGUCGGUGGGGUAACCUUUAUGGAGCCAGCCGCCUAAGGUGGGACAGAUGAUUGGGGUGAAGUCGUAACAAGGUAGCCGUAUCGGAAGGUGCGGCUGGAUC
This 502-nucleotide non-coding RNA is filed under the name Bacillus gaemokensis. Its description in RNAcentral is "bacterial SSU rRNA". It matches the Rfam family "Bacterial small subunit ribosomal RNA", at positions 1022 to 1524 of the family's 1533-position model. The record is from RNAcentral. Lineage: Bacteria; Bacillati; Bacillota; Bacilli; Caryophanales; Bacillaceae.